This 1121-nucleotide ribosomal RNA is filed under the name Salmonella enterica. Its description in RNAcentral is "partial 23S ribosomal RNA". It matches the Rfam family "Bacterial large subunit ribosomal RNA", at positions 711 to 1750 of the family's 2925-position model. Lineage: Bacteria; Pseudomonadati; Pseudomonadota; Gammaproteobacteria; Enterobacterales; Enterobacteriaceae. The record is from RNAcentral. RNAcentral also lists the same sequence under 1 other name.
AGACCCGAAACCCGGUGAUCUAGCCAUGGGCAGGUUGAAGGUUGGGUAACACUAACUGGAGGACCGAACCGACUAAUGUUGAAAAAUUAGCGGAUGACCUGUGGCUGGGGGUGAAAGGCCAAUCAAACCGGGAGAUAGCUGGUUCUCCCCGAAAGCUAUUUAGGUAGCGCCUCGUGAAUUCAUCUCCGGGGGUAGAGCACUGUUUCGGCUAGGGGGCCAUCCCGGCUUACCAACCCGAUGCAAACUGCGAAUACCGGAGAAUGUUAUCACGGGAGACACACGGCGGGUGCUAACGUCCGUCGUGAAGAGGGAAACAACCCAGACCGCCAGCUAAGGUCCCAAAGUCAUGGUUAAGUGGGAAACGAUGUGGGAAGGCCCAGACAGCCAGGAUGUUGGCUUAGAAGCAGCCAUCAUUUAAAGAAAGCGUAAUAGCUCACUGGUCGAGUCGGCCUGCGCGGAAGAUGUAACGGGGCUAAACCAUGCACCGAAGCUGCGGCAGCGAACGUAUCACUUAAAGCGAUUCAGCGGGUUACGAUUGACGGAGCGAAGCGACGUCAAAGCGUAUACAAAGUCGAGUCGGUUUAAGGAUACGUUCGUUGGGUAGGGGAGCGUUCUGUAAGCCUGCGAAGGUGGCCUGUGAGGGUUGCUGGAGGUAUCAGAAGUGCGAAUGCUGACAUAAGUAACGAUAAAGCGGGUGAAAAGCCCGCUCGCCGGAAGACCAAGGGUUCCUGUCCAACGUUAAUCGGGGCAGGGUGAGUCGACCCCUAAGGCGAGGCCGAAAGGCGUAGUCGAUGGGAAACGGGUUAAUAUUCCCGUACUUGGUGUUACUGCGAAGGGGGGACGGAGAAGGCUAUGUUGGCCGGGCGACGGUUGUCCCGGUUUAAGCGUGUAGGCUGGUUUUCCAGGCAAAUCCGGAAAAUCAAGGCUGAGGCGUGACGACGAGGCACUACGGUGCUGAAGCAACAAAUGCCCUGCUUCCAGGAAAAGCCUCUAAGCAUCAGGUAACACGAAAUCGUACCCCAAACCGACACAGGUGGUCAGGUAGAGAAUACCAAGGCGCUUGAGAGAACUCGGGUGAAGGAACUAGGCAAAAUGGUGCCGUAACUUCGGGAGAAGGCACG